This is a long non-coding RNA of Cebus imitator (Panamanian white-faced capuchin), 386 nucleotides long. RefSeq lists it as uncharacterized. The transcript has 3 exons. The record is from RefSeq and is a predicted model, not a curated record. Lineage: Eukaryota; Metazoa; Chordata; Mammalia; Primates; Cebidae.
UAUUUUUGAGUUCACCUGCAUAUCUGCCCUUUUGGACCAGAGAAAGCUCUAUGAGGAACAUGUUCUUCCCAUGUUCUUAUGGUACAACAGGGCUCAUAUUUUAUUGAUGGGUUUUUAAAAAUAAUGCCUUUGUACGUGCUGGAUCUCUCACCAGAACCAACAGUUCUGUAGCUCUUCAGGCGAAGCAGUGAAGAUGAGUUUCAGGGAUUACAUCCACUUCACCAGAGAGAUGCAGAGAACCUCAGCAUAUUCUAGAUGGGCUUCCCCUCUGCAAUUUAUGAUGAAAUCUGACUUCAGGGCGAGUUUGCAGCCUCCUUUCUGCCUCUCCUCUGGUUUCCCGGUAGCAGACCCUUGUCUCCCUUCAGACCUGGGCUCCCCCAGCUCAG